GACUUCGUGGCGUAAUCGGUUAGCGCGUUCGGUUGUUAACCGGAAGGUUCGUGGUUCCAGGCCACGUGAAGGCA
RNAcentral lists this transfer RNA (74 nucleotides) under Stegodyphus mimosarum. It matches the Rfam family "tRNA". From Rfam's summary of the family: Transfer RNA (tRNA) molecules are approximately 80 nucleotides in length. Their secondary structure includes four short double-helical elements and three loops (D, anti-codon, and T loops). Lineage: Eukaryota; Metazoa; Arthropoda; Arachnida; Araneae; Eresidae. The record is from Rfam by way of RNAcentral.